This 459-nucleotide ribosomal RNA is filed under the name uncultured bacterium. Its description in RNAcentral is "partial 16S ribosomal RNA". It matches the Rfam family "Bacterial small subunit ribosomal RNA", at positions 338 to 795 of the family's 1533-position model. The record is from RNAcentral.
CCUACGGGAGGCAGCAGUGAGGAAUAUUGGUCAAUGGGCGCGAGCCUGAACCAGCCAAGUAGCGUGAAGGAUGACUGCCCUACGGGUUGUAAACUUCUUUUAUAAAGGAAUAAAAUGAGGCACGUGUGCCUUUUUGUAUGUACUUUAUGAAAAAGCAUCGGCUAACUCCGUGCCAGCAGCCGCGGUAAGACGGAGGAUGCGAGCGUUAUCCGGAUUGAUUGGGGUUAAAGGGGGCGUAGGCGGGCAUUUAAGCCGGCGGUAAAAUGUCGGGGCUCAAUCCCGGACUGCCGUCGGAACUGGGUGCCUUGAGUGAGCGAGAGGUAAGCGGAAUGCGGGGUGUAGCGGUGAAAUGCAUAGAUAUCCCGCAGAACCCCGAUUGCGAAGGCAGCAUACCGGGGUCCUACUGACGCUGAGGCACGAAAGUGCGGGUAUCAAACAGGAUUAGAUACCCCAGUAGUC